UUUUCUUCACCUUUUGCAUACAAGUUUUUUGUUCUGAAAUAGAAAUUUUUAUUUCACCUAACUUUCUUGGCUAUGAAGCCCCAUAGAUCUCAAUUCAAUAUUAAAUUGGUUUUGGAUUUUUCGUUAUUUAGAACUUAGAAAUGAUCGUGACUUAGGUAAAAUGUCAUGGAAUGCUCAAAUAUACCUCAAAAAGGUAUUUUCUAAGAUGAGGAGUAAAAAGAUAACAACCAUAUGUGUGUGUGUCUGAUGUUUCCAUGUGGUAAACAGAAAUGGUAAAUUUUCUGUUAUCUGUGUUUCAGAACCAUUUCUAGUCCAAACAGUGAAAAGACUAGAAGUUAUACUCCUUUCUUUAUGUUCGUUAUUUUUAUUGAGACUGUACUCGAGAUCUCAGAACUCCGGGGUACCACUGAGUUAAAGCUCAUUGGACUUUCUUGAUGUUUCUUAAUUUCAAUUUGCCUAACUUUUGGUGCCAUUUCAACAUCUUUUGCCAACUCUUUCUUUUCUUUCCCCUUCUAAAUUGAUCUUAGAUAUUGUCUGUGUGAAUUAGAACUUGAGGAUUGCUGGUAUGACAAACAAUAUGAACUUAAGAUCUCAAUGCAAUAAUUAUGGUUUUGUUCUACAAGUGUUAAUUCUCUUUGUUUCUUGGUCUAAUUUAUUGUUUAUGACUUGCAGUUUGUGUAAUGUUAUAGUGAUUUAUCCUUUUCUAUUGGACUCCUUUUCUGCAGUUAUUCUAACAUUUACUGUGCUCUUU
This 751-nucleotide unclassified non-coding RNA is filed under the name Hevea brasiliensis (rubber tree). Lineage: Eukaryota; Viridiplantae; Streptophyta; Magnoliopsida; Malpighiales; Euphorbiaceae. The record is from RNAcentral.